Molecule: ribosomal RNA, 468 nt
Filed under: uncultured bacterium
Lineage: Bacteria
Description: partial 16S ribosomal RNA
Rfam family: Bacterial small subunit ribosomal RNA
Source: RNAcentral
GACGAACGCUGGCGGCGUGCUUAACACAUGCAAGUCGAACGGAAAGGCCCUGCUUUUGUGGGGUGCUCGAGUGGCGAACGGGUGAGUAACACGUGAGUAACCUGCCCUUGACUUUGGGAUAACUUCAGGAAACUGGGGCUAAUACCGGAUAGGAGCUCCUGCUGCACGGGGGGGGUUGGAAAGUUUCGGCGGUUGGGGAUGGAUUCGCGGCUUAUCAGCUUGUUGGUGGGGUAGUGGCUUACCAAGGUUUUGACGGGUAGCCGGCCUGGGAGGGUGCCCAGCCACAUUGCGACUGCGGUACGGCCCAGAAUCCUACGUGAGGCAGCAGUGGGGAAUCUUGCACAGUGGGCGGGAGCCUGAUGCGGAAGCGCCGCGUGCGGGAUGCCGGCCUUCGGGUUGUAAACCGCUUUCGACUGUGCCGAAGCGUGAGUGACGGUAAUGGGUAAAGAAGCACCGGCUAACUACGUG